AGUGCAGUGCUAUACCUUAACAUAGAUUUGCGUUAGUCGUAGCGCUACCAUCACUUUGUGAGACGGAGCCCAGUUUGACUUCAGCCCUUUCAUCACAAAUAUGUUUGUCUGAUAACUCAGUCAACGUAGAUAAAUCUAAUAGCAAUCGAUCACAUACUCUCUCACGUUCACAAGAGGCAAUAACGUCAAUGUCUAGACUAAUAUUGGAUAUGAGUACCAGAUUGAAACAAACAGUAUUAAAGUAUUAAACUAAGACUGGGAUACCGACAUGUAAUUGAAUAUAACAUUAAACGACUCUAUCGUGUGCUGAAAGAGAUUUCGAUGGACGUGAGAGGGAAACGGUGUCCUUGUGUCAACUGUUUCGUGGAGAUUUAACUAAAUACGUACUUCGCAGCACAAACAAAUGAAAAUAAACUCUAACUCACAAGAAGGUUCAUGUCGGUUCAGAUGACUGAGGCAAUAAAACGGACAAAAAGCUGGAAAAGAAACAUUAUUGGUCUUAAAGAUGACCUGUCUGAUGAACUCAUGAACUAAAAAUAAAAACAGUGUUUUAUCAGGUGAAAAAUCGAGUCAAAAUGCUACAAUACAAUUGAGAAUGUUAUUGAGUGAUCGUUGCAAUGAAUUUAUAUUGAAGACAAAGGUAACAUUGAUACUGAAGACACAGGUAACAUAGAUACUGAAGACAAAGGUAACAUUGAUAUUGAAGACAAAGGUAACAUUGAUAUUAAAGACAAAGGUAACAUUGAUAUUGAAGACAAAGGUAACAUUGAUAUUGAAGACAAAGGUAACAUUGAUAUUGAAGACAAAGGUUACAUUGAUAUUGAAGACAAAGGUAACAUUGAUAUUGAAGACAAAGGUAACAUUGAUAAAGGUAACAUUCAUAUUGAAGACAAAUGUAACAUUGAUAUUGAAGACAAAGGUAACAUUGAUAUUGAAGACAGAGGUAACAUUGAUAUUUCAGGAAGAGGUAACAUUGAUAUUAAAUAUAUAGGCAACAUUGAUGCUAAGGACAGAGGUAACAUUAAUUUUGGAUACAAACAACAUUUAAGCUGAUAAUCGAGGUAACAUUAAUAUUGAAGAUUGAGAUAAAAUUGAUAUAUAAUUUAUUGAAAUAUAAUUGUUAUUGUAGAUAGAGAUAACAUUGUUAUUAAAGAUAUUGAGAUGUUGCAGGGAGAUUUGAAAAGUCGGAGGUGUGUGUUGAUAUUAACGCUUGUUGCUUGUUUGUAGUUUGCACCUCGUUGUUGUUGUUUGGCAGUCUUGUUGUUAUCUGGUUAUUGUUUACUUUAAUAAACUGUUUUCAACCCGA
Molecule: long non-coding RNA, 1306 nt
Organism: Haliotis rubra (blacklip abalone)
Lineage: Eukaryota; Metazoa; Mollusca; Gastropoda; Lepetellida; Haliotidae
Exons: 2
Source: RefSeq, a predicted model, not a curated record